RNAcentral lists this transfer RNA (61 nucleotides) under Neotoma lepida (desert woodrat). It matches the Rfam family "tRNA", at positions 6 to 65 of the family's 71-position model. Rfam says of the family: Transfer RNA (tRNA) molecules are approximately 80 nucleotides in length. Their secondary structure includes four short double-helical elements and three loops (D, anti-codon, and T loops). Lineage: Eukaryota; Metazoa; Chordata; Mammalia; Rodentia; Cricetidae. The record is from Rfam by way of RNAcentral.
UGUGGCUCAGUUGAUAGAGUGCUUGCCUGGUAUGCAGGAGGUCCUGGGUUCAAUCUCAGCA